This 165-nucleotide ribosomal RNA is filed under the name Austrostipa scabra. RNAcentral describes it as "5.8S ribosomal RNA". It matches the Rfam family "5.8S ribosomal RNA". From Rfam's summary of the family: 5.8S ribosomal RNA (5.8S rRNA) is a component of the large subunit of the eukaryotic ribosome. It is transcribed by RNA polymerase I as part of the 45S precursor that also contains 18S and 28S rRNA. Lineage: Eukaryota; Viridiplantae; Streptophyta; Magnoliopsida; Poales; Poaceae. The record is from RNAcentral.
CCAUACGACUCUCGGCAACGGAUAUCUCGGCUCUCGCAUCGAUGAAGAACGUAGCGAAAUGCGAUACYUGGUGUGAAUUGCAGAAUCCCGCGAACCAUCGAGUCUUUGAACGCAAGUUGCGCCCGAGGCCACCCGGCUGAGGGCACGCCUGCCUGGGCGUCACGC